AGCAGCCGCGGUAAUUCCAGCUCCAAUAGCGUAUAUUAAAGUUGUUACAGUUAAAAAGCUCGUAGUUGAGUUUCGGGGUCAGUAGGUUGGUCAUGCCACUGGUAUGUACUGGUCUCACCGAUUCCUCCUUCCUGAUGAACUGUAAUGCCAUUAAUUUGGUGUUGCAGGGAAUCUGGACUGUUACUUUGAAAAAAUUAGAGUGUUUAAAGCAGGCUAACGCCUGAAUACAUUAGCAUGGAAUAAUGAAAUAGGACGUUCGAUCCUAUUUUGUUGGUUUCUAGGAUUGACGUAAUGAUUAAUAGGGAUAGUUGGGGGCAUUAGUAUUCAAUUGUCAGAGGUGAAAUUCUUGGAUUUAUUGAAGACUAACUACUGCGAAAGCAUUUGCCAAGGAUGUUUUCAUUAAUCAAGAACGAAAGUUAGGGGAUCGAAGACGAUCAGAUACCGUCGUAG
This 450-nucleotide ribosomal RNA is filed under the name uncultured Glomeromycotina. RNAcentral's name for it is "SSU rRNA". It matches the Rfam family "Eukaryotic small subunit ribosomal RNA", at positions 569 to 1023 of the family's 1831-position model. The record is from RNAcentral. Lineage: Eukaryota; Fungi; Glomeromycota.